AUUGAACGCCGGCGGCGUGCCUAACACAUGCAAGUCGAGCGGUAACAGGUGUAGCAAUACAUGCUGACGAGCGGGCGGACGGGUGAGUAACGCUUGGGAAUCUGCCUAUUAGUGGGGGGACAACCCGGGGGAAACUCGGGGCUAAUACCGCAUACGCUCUACGGAGGAAAGCCGGGGACCGCAAGGCCUGGCGCUAAUAGAUGAGCCCAAGUCGGAUUAGCUAGUUGGUAGGGUAAUGGCCUACCAAGGCGACGAUCCGUAACUGGUCUGAGAGGACGACCAGUCACACCGGAACUGAGACACGGUCCGGACUCCUACGGGAGGCGAGCAGUGGGGAAUAUUGGACAAUGGGCGAAAGCCUG
Molecule: ribosomal RNA, 362 nt
Filed under: uncultured bacterium
Lineage: Bacteria
Description: bacterial SSU rRNA
Rfam family: Bacterial small subunit ribosomal RNA
Source: RNAcentral